RNAcentral lists this long non-coding RNA (1021 nucleotides) under Marmota monax (woodchuck). The record is from RNAcentral. Lineage: Eukaryota; Metazoa; Chordata; Mammalia; Rodentia; Sciuridae.
AUGGGCUUUGCUAUUCUCCUAAAGGCAUUCAGAACAAACUCAGGUGACCUAUUGCUAAUAGACCUUCUUCCAAGGGUAUGCAUCAAUUUUUUUCAAAAAAUUUCUUGGUAUUUAGAGCCAUUUAUUCUAACAGACUUGGCAGUCUGCAAACAAAGGAGGGAGAGAUAAUGUAUGGCCCACAUCAGAUAUUAAUCAAAUAAAAAAGAAUUUUGUUUAUGCAGCCCAUUCUCAACACACUCAAAUGUCAAAUUCAUUUUAAAGAUAUUUCACCUCCUGCUUAAGCCUCCUGAGCUGCUAGGAUUACAGGCAUGAGCCUUCGAAUCCAGUCUGAGAAUGUUUCCUUAUGAUACGUUUUUUAAAGAGUUAAUCCUUUACCUUUUAGUAUUGGGUGGCACUAUGCCAAAGUAAAUAAAUGCUUUGCUUUUCCCCUGAAUCUCCCAUGCUUAUGAUACACAGGGCAUUUCAAUUGAUCCUCAGACACCCACACUACAGCAUAUAUUGAAUAUAUAUACUAUCCUUCCUGUAUUUUCUAUACAGCAUGCCCUUACUCUGGUUUACUAAGUAUUAAAUGUAUCAAAAAGCCAUUUCAUCAACUCUUCCAAUCUUUAUCUCACCCAUUUAAAAGAAAAUCAGAUUUGAUGUUUUAAAAAUUUUGUAUGUUUCAAUAGUUUAUUAUGGAAAAUGUCAAACCUAAAUACAGGGCAUCUAUAGUAACAAAACAGACCAGUGGUUGCCUCUGGAGGUGGAUAUUAACUCAUAAAGGGUAGGAAACAACUUCUUGGGUUGAUGAAAAUAUUUCAUAUCUUGAUUGGAGUGUGUGUUGAUGGGUGUAUACAAUAGUCAUCAAAUGGGCAGCUUAAAAUGUAUGCAUUGUAUUGUAUAUAAGUUAUGUCUCAAUUAAACAAAACAAAACAAAAACAAAAACAAAAGAUAUUUCACCUUAUCAUGAAAGGUUUAUAACACCUAUUAGAAUUUUUUGUUUAUUUUUUAUGAUUUAAGCUUUAAAGAAGUUUGUAUCCCA